Camelina sativa (false flax) is the source of this 2131-nucleotide non-coding RNA. The record is from RefSeq and is a predicted model, not a curated record. NCBI's taxonomy places the organism in Eukaryota, Viridiplantae, Streptophyta, Magnoliopsida, Brassicales, Brassicaceae.
AGGGAUAGAANAUGAGGGAAUAAGAUCGGAGUCCCUAGGUUUUCCGGAGGAAAAAGCAGCCAGAAAUGGAAGUAAAGGCGAAUGGAGGCGUGAAACCCUUGGAACGAGAGCUGCAAAAGCUUGGAGGCAGAGAGAGGCCUUGAUACAGGCUAUGGAGGUUCUGUUUCGUAUAUUGAUGUCAAUGAGUUUGAUGAUGGGAUCGGCUGACUUGAAAGUGUUUUGUUUGAGUCUCUGAUUCCUUUCAGCUCACAAGUAAGUAAUAGAUCGUCGCUUGCCAUGAGAGGAUCUGAAGAGAUGCAAUGAAAGAAGAUGUGUGAUCAAGAUUCAAGACAACUUGGAUCGGUUUGGAGUUCCCCAUUCAAGAAUUUGAUCUCGGGUAUUAACAGUGAAUAACCAUGCCAGAAACUUGUGUUUAGGGAUGCCUCCCGAGACCCAGAUCACCUUCGAACAAGGCCACCAUUCGUAUGAGUCUUGUUGAUUGUUGUUUAGAUAGGUCCGAAGAAGGUUAACUUGCGUAUCUGAUCUUGCACAAAGCAUAAAGAAGUCGAGCUCUUAUUCCCAGAUGAUGUGGACCUGAGAGAAAUUGCCAAAAGAGAGUCCAGUUAUCCGACCAAAACCUGCAGUUUCUCGCCCAUUCCAUAUCCACCAUCUUUGUCCAAGGGUGUGUAAAUUGAUGUUGCCAACUCCAAGGCCAUAGAUAAAUGAUAAAAACAGAGGACAGAUCCAAAGUCCUUUCAUGCGCUAUUGAGGCAAAAAAAAUACAGGAGCAGUUAGUUCGUUGAAAGACGUUUCUUUCAGUUGCUUCUCUUGAUCAAGUGCUCGACGAUGGACAACGCGUUCUCUGAUCUAAUACGUGCAUUCGGGAGUUUAACAAAGAAUCUAAAAAGAGGAGUCGUUCAGAGCUGCUGACCUGGAUGGUGACUAUUGACGAGUUGGCUGCGCUUCUUUCUCUAGCAACUAGUGAGACCCUUGAUUCACUUGUCCUAACAAGUCAGUUUGUAGCUCCGGUAAUUUAAAAGUCUCCCAAUCCACGGUGUGUGGUGAAGCUCUGCUUCAUAUGACUCUCUCUCUCUCUCUCUCUCUCUCUCUGUUUUGACCAAGGAACAGGUAAUCAGAAGAUGACCGGAAGGUUUUUGACUUGACUGAUAAGACAAGCUUUCAUAUGGAUGGAUUUUCAAAUUUUAAUUGAAUGGACACAUCACAUAUUGUGGUGGUUGACCGUGUGGCGCUAUGAUUGUUCUUAUUUACCAGAGUCGGAAAAUUGGGCUUCGACUUAUGUGGAUCAGGGGACUUUUACCCCUCAAAUAAUUGAUCAUGACCAUUCUAACGUUUUAUAUUGGAUUGUCACUUGUCACAACACAGUUUCGUUGUGCCUAGAAGCUUCACGUCCUCUCCACCAAGCCAUUCUAACAAAGAUUUUGGAAAGUUACUAGUGCCCUAUCAUCAUGCUAUAAUGUGUUUGGAGUUGUGAUUUUUUGUAUGUUGCAGGAUCAUGCUCAAGUCAAGUAAUCCUCCUACACCACUUUUCUUUGAGACAUUUUAAAAAACCCUAGGAGAGCUGAGAUCUCAAAAUAAAGUAGUAGAAGAAGGAAUCGAAGAGUUCUCAGGCGGCGCGUUGAAGAAGAGAUGGAAUCCACCAGAUCUCAACGGGAGAAGAGGAAAUCCUCCGGUGAGGCAGAUGCGAGGGGAAAAAGGACAAGAUCGGAGUCAAAUGAAAACCGUCCUCUUCUUUCCAAAAGCUCCAGUGCCAAAAUCAAGGAGAAGAAGAAGAAGAAGGUCAGAUAGGUUUUGAUAAAAAAAUGAAGAGCAGAGAGACACACGUGUGAGUAGGGACACGUGUACUGGUGUGAAGUGUUGACACGUGAAAAGGAAGGAGCUGAAAUUACUGUCUUAUAAGAGCAAAAUGAUGUUAUGCGGAGUUUUAUGAAUUUAUUGUUUUCUCUUUUCUUGUUUUGGUGACUAUGUUCUUUAUCGUUUUGCUGGAGCUUCUGGGUAUUAUCGUUAAUAUGUUUAUCGAAUCUAUUAAUUGCCUGUUUGAUUUCUAUUUUUACGUUUAUCACUUUCGGAGUCAAGGUUGGCCUUUUGAAGUUACGAAGCCCAUUUAAUUUUAAAAAUCCCAGAUUGUAGUCUC